Meleagris gallopavo (turkey) is the source of this 45-nucleotide regulatory RNA element. It matches the Rfam family "Histone 3' UTR stem-loop". From Rfam's summary of the family: The mRNAs of metazoan histone genes lack a poly-A tail. 3' end processing occurs at a site between a highly conserved stem-loop (modelled by this family) and a purine rich region around 20 nts downstream (the histone downstream element, or HDE). Lineage: Eukaryota; Metazoa; Chordata; Aves; Galliformes; Phasianidae. The record is from Rfam.
CCAAAGGCUCUUUUCAGAGCCACCCAUUCUUUCAGUAAAAGAGCU